CCCUUAGAUGUCCUGGGCCGCACGUGCGCUACACUGACAUGUUCAACAAGUUUCUCCUAGUUCGACAGGACUGGGAAAUCUUUGAACGCAUGUCGUGAUAGGGAUAGAUCAUUGCAAUUAUUGAUCUUGAACGAGGAAUUCCUAGUAAACGCGAGUCAUCAGCUCGCAUUGAUUACGUCCCUGCCCUUUGUACACACCGCCCGUCGCACCUACCGAUUGAAUGUUUCGGUGAAGAUUCCGGAUAGGACUGAUUUGAUUUAUUUCAUUUCUGACCUAAAAGCUAUCUAAACCUCAACAUUUAGAGGAAGGUGAAGUCGUAACA
Molecule: ribosomal RNA, 322 nt
Filed under: uncultured eukaryote
Lineage: Eukaryota
Description: partial 18S ribosomal RNA
Rfam family: Eukaryotic small subunit ribosomal RNA
Source: RNAcentral